Non-coding RNA from Schistosoma haematobium, 45 nucleotides. NCBI's taxonomy places the organism in Eukaryota, Metazoa, Platyhelminthes, Trematoda, Strigeidida, Schistosomatidae. The record is from Rfam.
AUCCGACUGACGAGUGCUAAAUAGGACGAAAUACUCGUCCUAGAU